Molecule: ribosomal RNA, 440 nt
Filed under: uncultured bacterium
Lineage: Bacteria
Description: partial 16S ribosomal RNA
Rfam family: Bacterial small subunit ribosomal RNA
Source: RNAcentral
CCUACGGGAGGCAGCAGUAGGGAAUAUUGCUCAAUGGGGGAAACCCUGAAGCAGCAACGCCGCGUGGAGGAUGAAGGUUUUCGGAUUGUAAACUCCUUUUGUUAGAGAAGAUAAUGACGGUAUCUAACGAAUAAGCACCGGCUAACUCCGUGCCAGCAGCCGCGGUAAUACGGAGGGUGCAAGCGUUACUCGGAAUCACUGGGCGGAAAGAGCGCGUAGGCGGGAUAGCAAGUCAGAUGUGAAAUCCUAUGGCUUAACCAUAGAACUGCAGUUGAAACGGUUAUUCUAGAGUAUGGGAGAGGUAGGUGGAAUGCUUGGUGUAGGGGUAAAAUCCGUAGAGAUCAAGAGGAAUACUCAUUGCGAAGGCGACCUGCUAGAACAUAACUGACGCUGAUGCGCGAAAGCGUGGGGAGCAAACAGGAUUAGAUACCCCUGUAGUC